GACGAACGCUGGCGGCGUGCUUAACACAUGCAAGUCGAACGCUGAAGACCUGGCUUUUGUUGGGUUGGAUGAGUGGCGAACGGGUGAGUAACACGUGAGUAACCUGCCCUCUUCUUUGGGAUAACGCCCGGAAACGGGUGCUAAUACUGGAUAUUCACUGAUCUUCGCAUGGGGGUUGGUGGAAAGGUUUGUUCUGGUGGGGGAUGGGCUCGCGGCCUAUCAGCUUGUUGGUGGGGUGAUGGCCUACCAAGGCUUUGACGGGUAGCCGGCCUGAGAGGGUGACCGGUCACAUUGGGACUGAGAUACGGCCCAGACUCCUACGGGAGGCAGCAGUGGGGAAUAUUGCACAAUGGGCGAAAGCCUGAUGCAGCGACGCCGCGUGAGGGAUGGAGGCCUUCGGGUUGUAAACCUCUUUCGCUCAUGGUCAAGCCGCAACUGUGGGUUGUAGUGAGGGUAGUGGGUAAAGAAGCGCCGGCUAACUACGUG
RNAcentral lists this ribosomal RNA (486 nucleotides) under uncultured bacterium. Its description in RNAcentral is "partial 16S ribosomal RNA". It matches the Rfam family "Bacterial small subunit ribosomal RNA", at positions 28 to 507 of the family's 1533-position model. The record is from RNAcentral.